GGAGAGAUGUCCGAGCUGGCCGAAGGAGCACGACUGGAAAUCGUGUAUGCUGCCAAAAGCGGCAUCGAGGGUUCGACUCCCUCUCUCUCCGCCA
Molecule: transfer RNA, 94 nt
Filed under: Desulfobacteraceae bacterium IS3
Lineage: Bacteria; Pseudomonadati; Thermodesulfobacteriota; Desulfobacteria; Desulfobacterales; Desulfobacteraceae
Description: tRNA-Ser
Rfam family: tRNA
About the family: Transfer RNA (tRNA) molecules are approximately 80 nucleotides in length. Their secondary structure includes four short double-helical elements and three loops (D, anti-codon, and T loops). Further hydrogen bonds mediate the characteristic L-shaped molecular structure. tRNAs have two regions of fundamental functional importance: the anti-codon, which is responsible for specific mRNA codon recognition, and the 3' end, to which the tRNAs corresponding amino acid is attached (by aminoacyl-tRNA synthetases). tRNAs cope with the degeneracy of the genetic code in two manners: having more than one tRNA (with a specific anti-codon) for a particular amino acid; and 'wobble' base-pairing, i.e. permitting non-standard base-pairing at the 3rd anti-codon position.
Source: RNAcentral